AACGAACGCUGGCGGCAUGCCUAACACAUGCAAGUCGAACGAGACCUUCGGGUCUAGUGGCGCACGGGUGCGUAACGCGUGGGAACCUGCCCUUAGGUUCGGAAUAACUCCCCGAAAGGGGUGCUAAUACCGGAUAAUGUCUUCGGACCAAAGAUUUAUCGCCUUUGGAUGGGCCCGCGUUGGAUUAGCUAGUUGGUAUGGUAAAAGCCUACCAAGGCGACGAUCCAUAGCUGGUCUGAGAGGAUGAUCAGCCACACUGGGACUGAGACACGGCCCAGACUCCUACGGGAGGCAGCAGUGGGGAAUAUUGGACAAUGGGCGAAAGCCUGAUCCAGCAGUGCCGCGGGAGUGAUGAAGGCCUUAGGGUUGUAAAGCUCUUUUACCCGGGAUGAUAAUGACAGUACCGGGAGAAUAAGCUCCGGCUAACUCCGU
Molecule: ribosomal RNA, 432 nt
Filed under: uncultured bacterium
Lineage: Bacteria
Description: partial 16S ribosomal RNA
Rfam family: Bacterial small subunit ribosomal RNA
Source: RNAcentral